AAGUGGGGAGUGGGGGAGAGUUUAGAGGGUGAGCUGUGCAGAGCAGAGGAGAGAAGCUGUGUAGAAGUCAUCUCCUGUAACAUGUGUGCCAUGUUCUGUUUGCUGGAGAACGGAGGAACAAAGGUGUCACUGACAACUGACUGAGUCAACCCCAGACAGAGGGAGGACAGAGGAGUUAGAGGAAACCUGUGAUUAGAAUGGGCUCUGAAUAUUUUAGAUCUGCAUCCCAGGAGUCACUGGCACAGCCCGCAAAGGCAUAGGAAAUAGGAAUGGGAAAACCUCAGAAGGUUUCAAGUUCACAUUCAGGUCAGAGAAGCAUAUGAAAGACUGAAUGCUUGCCGUGGUUGCUGUUAAAAAGUUAUUUGCCAAGUCUCUGAUUCAGCAAACCACACCUAUUCAGCAAAGUACUUAAUGUGAAGCACAUGCUUAAGUAUUUUGCUAACAAAGGUUGGACUUAAGCAUGCAUUGCCGUGCUUUGCUCAAUUGGUGCCCAAGUUACUAUGCAGUGAUAUCUGAAGUAUCACAACUUUAUAGAACUAGGAGGAAUAGGAAAUAAAUAAAGGUGACUGAAUAAAAUGUCAUUUAAAAAAAAUAAAGUAUUCAACAAAUGGUUUUCAACCCUGAAUCGAGGGCAUCCUCUCUGAACCCAGGGAACUUUGAGGAAGUUUGCAUCUGAAGCUGAACUUUGAAGCUCAUUUGUACAAUAAUGUGGCUCUGCACACAGGGAUCCAUGAUAAAGCAUCAGAUCAUGGGAUCAGACCCAGAGUCUUCACACUUGUUUGAUGUAUCUUAUUUUAACCGAAACGUUUCAUCCCUCACCACUCCAAAAUUGCUCUAUAACAAAUUCUGCUCUAUAAAGAUUUAGUCCGUUAAAUCAGGGUGCUGCUGAGAUACUUUCUAAAGAACAGUUGUUGUGAUUUUUAAAAAGAUGGGAAAUCUGAUGGUAAUAUUAUGGUUUGAGUGUAUUGGGCAAGGUGAUA
This is a long non-coding RNA of Chelonia mydas (Green sea turtle), 980 nucleotides long. RefSeq lists it as uncharacterized. The transcript has 3 exons. The record is from RefSeq and is a predicted model, not a curated record. Lineage: Eukaryota; Metazoa; Chordata; Testudines; Cheloniidae.